GGAGGAUUCAUUCUGAGUUUAUAUUGAGACUCCUGUACAUUCUAGACGAAAGUGAACUUCAUUUGGCUUGCAAAGAGGUUGUAAACUCCAGCCUGUGGAGAAUAUUUACGUAGGCCCUGAAACAUUUUGUGUGGAAGAAGUCACCCAAAUAUUUUUACGCACAAGACUUCAAGGAAAAAAAUGAUGCUGUUAGUAAUAAAUAUUAAUAGUCUGUUUCGUUUCUUGGUGUUACUUCUGUUGCUGUGUACAUCUAACGAGGCAUUUGUGACAACUGAGCAUGCAGCCAAAGAAGGUGAUGAUGCAGUGUUGGUACCAUGUGACUAUUCACAAUUUCAUUUAAUACCCGAUGUUAUUACUUGGAAUGAAGUGAAUGAAAUCGGAUUAUAUAUUACACGUGAUAUUGUAAAUGACCAAAAAACAGUCAGUGGACGUUUCAGCUUAAGAACAACACCGAAGAAGCCUUACCUGGUUAUCUCAAAGCCAGUAAGGAAUGAUUCCAAGAGAAUAUUUCAAUG
This is a long non-coding RNA of Anneissia japonica, 515 nucleotides long. RefSeq lists it as uncharacterized. The record is from RefSeq and is a predicted model, not a curated record. Lineage: Eukaryota; Metazoa; Echinodermata; Crinoidea; Comatulida; Comatulidae. The transcript is spliced from 4 exons.